CCUUGGAGGGAGGCGUGGCUGGUGGUUCUCUGACACAAAGAUACAAUCAGCCUCUGUUGAAAGAAAUUAUAGCACACUUUUCCUUUUUCUUCUUAAAUAAACAAAGACAAAAUAAACAGGUAAAAAAGUACCUCAAAAAAGUUUGUGUUUCGGGAAGAGCUAGGUCUUCACCUGUCACGUGGCUCGGCUGUUCGGACAUCUAGGGUUCAUUCCACCACCUCAAACCCAGAACAGAAAAGAAUCUUGAUGUAUACUUACCUCUUAACCCUGAGAGAAGGUGAGACCAGUCAAGCAGUGCUAGAAGAUCUGAGACAGCAUGGUGCAGUGCGAGGAGUCAUCAGAGCUUUGAGAUAAGAGGGCGCUGGCCUAUUUUUGGCUUUGUAGAUGAAGCGAGACACUGCAAGAUUUUUAUGCUUUAUAUAGACUUGUUGAUGUGUAGCUGCAAAGAUGCUUCCGGAAAGUUCUCGCACCUCAUCUCAGCCAGGCUGAUGCUUUAGCCUCACGGCCCAGAGAAUUACGGAGCAGGAGACCCCGGUAUUAAGCUGAUAAAGCCGGGAGGAACGCUUUUCCCAACAGGUUCUGGAGCUUAUCUAGGAGGCCAGUGUGGAGCAGCAACCCACACUUCUAUGCUCUGAGGAGCAAGUUUUCCACAUUUUCUACAGCGCUAGUGUACGGAGGCGGAAUCAGUGAAUUAAAUAUUCGGUCUGAAAAUAUUUUAAACUGAUAAAUAAAAUGACAUUGAUGCAAAAAGAUACUUGAGUCUACUUGAGAUAAAAAAAAAUGUGUUUGUUGUCACAAAAAUAAACAAUAAAAACCUUUUGCUCACA
Long non-coding RNA from Silurus meridionalis, 827 nucleotides. RefSeq lists it as uncharacterized. The transcript has 3 exons. NCBI's taxonomy places the organism in Eukaryota, Metazoa, Chordata, Actinopteri, Siluriformes, Siluridae. The record is from RefSeq and is a predicted model, not a curated record.